This 74-nucleotide transfer RNA is filed under the name Loxodonta africana (African savanna elephant). It matches the Rfam family "tRNA". Rfam says of the family: Transfer RNA (tRNA) molecules are approximately 80 nucleotides in length. Their secondary structure includes four short double-helical elements and three loops (D, anti-codon, and T loops). Further hydrogen bonds mediate the characteristic L-shaped molecular structure. tRNAs have two regions of fundamental functional importance: the anti-codon, which is responsible for specific mRNA codon recognition, and the 3' end, to which the tRNAs corresponding amino acid is attached (by aminoacyl-tRNA synthetases). tRNAs cope with the degeneracy of the genetic code in two manners: having more than one tRNA (with a specific anti-codon) for a particular amino acid; and 'wobble' base-pairing, i.e. permitting non-standard base-pairing at the 3rd anti-codon position. The record is from Rfam by way of RNAcentral. Lineage: Eukaryota; Metazoa; Chordata; Mammalia; Proboscidea; Elephantidae.
CCCUGGGUGGUAUAAACGGUUAAUGCACUUGGCUGCUAACCAAGAGGUUAGAGGUUCAAGUCCACCCACAGUUG